This 283-nucleotide ribosomal RNA is filed under the name Burkholderia pseudomallei. Its description in RNAcentral is "partial 16S ribosomal RNA". It matches the Rfam family "Bacterial small subunit ribosomal RNA", at positions 1251 to 1533 of the family's 1533-position model. The record is from RNAcentral. Lineage: Bacteria; Pseudomonadati; Pseudomonadota; Betaproteobacteria; Burkholderiales; Burkholderiaceae.
GAAGCCGCGAGGUGAAGCUAAUCUCAGAAAAUCAUUCUCAGUUCGGAUUGUAGGCUGCAACUCGCCUACAUGAAGCUGGAAUCGCUAGUCAUCGCGGAUCAGCAUGCCGCGGUGAAUACGUUCCCGGGCCUUGUACACACCGCCCGUCACACCACGAGAGUUUGUAACACCCGAAGUCGGUGGGGUAACCGUAAGGAGCCAGCCGCCUAAGGUGGGACAGAUGAUUGGGGUGAAGUCGUAACAAGGUAGCCGUAUCGGAAGGUGCGGCUGGAUCACCUCCUUU